GAUGAACGCUGGCGGCGUGCCUAAUACAUGCAAGUCGAGCGAACGGACGAGAAGCUUGCUUCUCUGAUGUUAGCGGCGGACGGGUGAGUAACACGUGGAUAACCUACCUAUAAGACUGGGAUAACUUCGGGAAACCGGAGCUAAUACCGGAUAAUAUUUUGAACCGCAUGGUUCAAAAGUGAAAGACGGUCUUGCUGUCACUUAUAGAUGGAUCCGCGCUGCAUUAGCUAGUUGGUAAGGUAACGGCUUACCAAGGCAACGAUGCAUAGCCGACCUGAGAGGGUGAUCGGCGACACUGGAACUGAGACACGGUCCAGACUCCUACGAGAGGCAGCAGUAGGGAAUCUUCCGCAAUGGGCGAAAGCCUGACGGAGCAACGCCGCGUGAGUGAUGAAGGUCUUCGGAUCGUAAAACUCUGUUGUUAGGGAAGAACAUAUGUGUAAGUAACUGUGCACAUCUUGACGGUACCUAAUCAGAAAGCCACGGCUAACUACGUG
Molecule: ribosomal RNA, 497 nt
Filed under: uncultured bacterium
Lineage: Bacteria
Description: partial 16S ribosomal RNA
Rfam family: Bacterial small subunit ribosomal RNA
Source: RNAcentral